GGCCGUGUGGCUCAAUGGCAGAGCGUCUGACUACGAUUGCCGCAUCAAUGCAAGGGUGCGAUAUCACAGAUAAUCAGAAGGUCGCAGGUUCGACCCCUGUCUCGGUCA
Claviceps monticola is the source of this 108-nucleotide non-coding RNA. Lineage: Eukaryota; Fungi; Ascomycota; Sordariomycetes; Hypocreales; Clavicipitaceae. The record is from the annotation of a GenBank genome assembly.